RNAcentral lists this ribosomal RNA (453 nucleotides) under uncultured bacterium. RNAcentral describes it as "bacterial SSU rRNA". It matches the Rfam family "Bacterial small subunit ribosomal RNA", at positions 29 to 532 of the family's 1533-position model. The record is from RNAcentral.
AACGAACGCUGGCGGCAGGCUUAACACAUGCAAGUCGAGCGCGUAGCAAUACGAGCGGCAGACGGGUGAGUAACGCGUGGGAAUCUACCCAACCCUACGGAAUAACGCAUGGAAACGUGUGCUAAUACCGUAUACGCCCUUCGGGGAAGAUUUAUCGGGAUGGAUGAGCCCGCGUUGGAUUAGCUAGUUGGUGGGGUAAGGCCUACCAAGGCGACGAUCCAUAGCUGGUCUGAGAGGAUGAUCAGCCACAUUGGGACUGAGACACGGCCCAAACUCCUACGGGAGGCAGCAGUGGGGAAUAUUGGACAAUGGGCGCAAGCCUGAUCCAGCCAUGCCGCGUGAGUGAUGAAGGCCCUAGGGUUGUAAAGCUCUUUGUCCGGGAAGAUAAUGACUGUACCGGAAGAAUAAGCCCCGGCUAACUUCGUGCCAGCAGCCGCGGUAAAGUGACUACUG